UACGUAGGGAGCAAGCGUUGUUCGGAUUUACUGGGCGUAAAGGGCGCGUAGGCGGCAAUUCAAGUCAGCUGUGAAAUCUCCGGGCUUAACUCGGAACGGUCAGCUGAUACUGCUUUGCUAGAGUGCGGAAGGGGCAAUCGGAAUUCUCGGUGUAGCGGUGAAAUGCGUAGAUAUCGAGAGGAACACCUGAGGUGAAGACGGGUUGCUGGGCCGACACUGACGCUGAGGCGCGAAAGUGUGGGGAGCGAACAGG
This 253-nucleotide ribosomal RNA is filed under the name uncultured bacterium. Its description in RNAcentral is "partial 16S ribosomal RNA". It matches the Rfam family "Bacterial small subunit ribosomal RNA", at positions 524 to 776 of the family's 1533-position model. The record is from RNAcentral.